Molecule: ribosomal RNA, 496 nt
Filed under: uncultured bacterium
Lineage: Bacteria
Description: partial 16S ribosomal RNA
Rfam family: Bacterial small subunit ribosomal RNA
Source: RNAcentral
GAUGAACGCUGGCGGCGUGCCUAAUACAUGCAAGUCGAGCGAACGGACGAGAAGCUUGCUUCUCUGAUGUUAGCGGCGGACGGGUGAGUAACACGUGGAUAACCUACCUAUAAGACUGGGAUAACUUCGGGAAACCGGAGCUAAUACCGGAUAAUAUUUUGAACCGCAUGGUUCAAAAGUGAAAGACGGUCUUGCUGUCACUUAUAGAUGGAUCCGCGCUGCAUUAGCUAGUUGGUAAGGUAACGGCUUACCAAGGCAACGAUGCAUAGCCGACCUGAGAGGGUGAUCGGCCACACUGGAACUGAGACACGGUCCAGAUCCCUACGGGAGGAAGCAGUAGGGAAUCUUCCGCAAUGGGCGAAAGCCUGACGGAGCAACGCCGCGUGAGUGAUGAAGGUCUUCGGAUCGUAAAACUCUGUUAUAGGGAAGAACAUAUGUGUAAGUAACUGUGCACAUCUUGACGGUACCUAAUCAGAAAGCCACGGCUAACUACGUG